AGCGAACGCUGGCGGCAGGCCUAACACAUGCAAGUCGAACGGAUCCUUCGGGAUUAGUGGCGGACGGGUGAGGAACACGUGGGAACGUGCCUUUUGGUUCGGAACAACUCAGGGAAACUUGAGCUAAUACCGGAUGAGCCCUUCGGGGGAAAGAUUUAUCGCCAUUAGAGCGGCCCGCGUCUGAUUAGCUUGUUGGUGGGGUAAAGGCCCACCAAGGCUACGAUCAGUAGCUGGUCUGAGAGGAUGAUCAGCCACAUUGGGACUGAGACACGGCCCAAACUCCUACGGGAGGCAGCAGUGGGGAAUCUUGCGCAAUGGGCGAAAGCCUGACGCAGCCAUGCCGCGUGAAUGAUGAAGGUCUUAGGAUUGUAAAAUUCUUCACCGGGGACGAUAAUGACGGUACCCGGAGAAGAAGCCCCGGCUAACUUCGU
This 431-nucleotide ribosomal RNA is filed under the name uncultured bacterium. RNAcentral describes it as "bacterial SSU rRNA". It matches the Rfam family "Bacterial small subunit ribosomal RNA", at positions 29 to 506 of the family's 1533-position model. The record is from RNAcentral.